This 460-nucleotide ribosomal RNA is filed under the name uncultured bacterium. RNAcentral's name for it is "partial 16S ribosomal RNA". It matches the Rfam family "Bacterial small subunit ribosomal RNA", at positions 338 to 795 of the family's 1533-position model. The record is from RNAcentral.
CCUACGGGCGGCAGCAGUGAGGAAUAUUGGUCAAUGGACGAGAGUCUGAACCAGCCAAGUAGCGUGAAGGAUGACUGCCCUAUGGGUUGUAAACUUCUUUUAUAAAGGAAUAAAACGAGGCACGUGUGCCUUUUUGCAUGUACUUUAUGAAUAAGGAUCGGCUAACUCCGUGCCAGCAGCCGCGGUAAUACGGAGGAUCCGAGCGUUAUCCGGAUUUAUUGGGUUUAAAGGGAGCGUAGAUGGGUUGUUAAGUCAGUUGUGAAAGUUUGCGGCUCAACCGUAAAAUUGCAAUUGAUACUGGCAGUCUAGAGUACAGUUGAGGUAGGCGGAAUUCGUGGUGUAGCGGUGAAAUGCUUAGAGAUCACGAAGAACCCCGAUUGCGAAGGCAGCUUACUAAACUGUGACUGACAUUGAGGCUCGAAAGUGUGGGUAUCAAACAGGAUUAGAUACCCUGGUAGUC